This is a non-coding RNA of Vicia faba (fava bean), 183 nucleotides long. The record is from the annotation of a GenBank genome assembly. Lineage: Eukaryota; Viridiplantae; Streptophyta; Magnoliopsida; Fabales; Fabaceae.
AUGCAGUGCAGCACCUUCAUUCAUCACAACUCUUUCUGUCAUAGAUUCCCUCUUUCCGUAUUCUUGAACUAUGUUUCAAGCUCAACGAUGCUGUCUUGUUUUCUGCUUUGCCAGUGUGACCUACUCAUCUUUUUUGGGCACAACCAGUGUAAUUUAUGUCAUAGCUACCUAGCUAGUGUUUAA